Molecule: non-coding RNA, 5318 nt
Organism: Danio rerio (zebrafish)
Lineage: Eukaryota; Metazoa; Chordata; Actinopteri; Cypriniformes; Danionidae
Source: RefSeq, a predicted model, not a curated record
AUGCAUUAGGUCAAGCAGUGGGAGAGCGAUGUGUACAUCCCAGAAGACGUAAAUGGCAGCAAAUCUACUGGAGCAGUCCCGGGGAUAUGGCCAGGCAGCCCAGAAGACAUGGAGAUGUGUUGAGGGGACCGAGGGCUUUGAGUGGAGCCGGAUGCUCGUGAGAUGAAUGGACAGUUGUAUUGUUUGUGCAUGUGCGAAGGGAGGAGCUGAGUUCCAGGGCCAAUGAGAAGCGAGCGAGGAUUGUGGGAAGGAGCCGUCCUAUUGGUCAGGAUCGUCCGUGCAGCUGCUGCGUAAUCAGGAGAGCAGUACUUAAGAGGCAUUAGUGCUGGAGCGGCAGCGAAAGCGGCAGCCCUGCGGUGGCAGCCGAGCGGUGUUCAUCCCUUGCGGUGUGAAGACCGGCGGGGUAAAGACAAGGCGCGACUCUGCGCGACUCUAACUGCGCGACUCCAACGAGCAGAGGACAACGGCAGAGGUACGGGGCUCUCUUCUUAUUCUUCUCAUCUCUCUCUUACAACUGCUUUGCUUGUCUUUUCCAACACCCACACUGCCUGGCAGGACUCCUCCAGUUCACCUGUGGCUUCGUCAAGACUACAGCUCUCUUCUAAACCACUAUCUCUUCUUCCCCUAGCUACCUGUGAGUCCUACCUGACUGCCAAUAAAAUGCUGCCAAAUCAAAUGCUCUCCAGUUGAUUCAACCAUGCCACUGUUUGUAUUCCUUCUCACUUGCACCACCAUUUUCCUCCAACAGGUCAACUGCUCCCCUCCAUUGUAGCCUCUGUCACUUGCACUUCACCUGAGUCGCCACACAACCACAACUACUGACAAACUGCUGCAUCUUGCACUGCUAUCACUACACCAGUAGAGUGAUCCCAACUCUGUCCUCCAGGGCCAGAAUCCUACACAUUUUACCUCCAACACACCUGCAAUGAUGUUCCUACACUGCCUAACAGUUUGCUUAGCUAGGCCAGCUAUGUCGGAUCCGGGUUGGAACUAAAGUUUGCAGGACACUGGCCCUCCAGGACCAACUCUGCACAUGCCUGCACUACACCAACACAACCUCAAGCACACAAUGAACUCUAAACAAAUCAAGCCAACCGCAUAAUGGCACAACACUAACACAACACUGUAAUAACACAUCAACAAACUACUUCAGCCACACUGCAGCUACACAGCAUGGCACAGCACAAAACACAAAAGUCACAACAGAUAAACAACAAACACACCUGCCAAAGGCCUAAUGACUGAGGAAGGGGAGGGGGUGUGGCCACACAGACAGGCAAUCAGUCAGACAAACACAAACAAAGACAGCAACACUAACACAAACUCAUACUACUGCUGCAACAACACAACAGGGGGACGACACAUUCUACACAUGCCAUUUUCAAAACAAUCACCUGCUGUACCUCCCACAUAUCUUUCACACUUCACAACUAUCUACUACACCACAUAUACACAUUUCACAAUUCGCAUAUCAUCACCCUUCACUGUAUAAACCACUUGCAUGUGCUCAUAUCAUUGGCCCAUCACUAUUUCCAGCUUCUUCUCAAACUACUUCAGAAACACAUUGAGCCAAUUUAAUCAACACUUUACAUUAAAUCAGCUAUCAAAACUUUCUUUCUGAAUCGCUGGACCUUUCAGCGUUCUCAGAAGCCAUGAAAAUGACUAAUGUCAAACACCAAAUACAUUACAGCCACGUCACUCUUUACAUAACACUAAAUCAACUGACAACAGCUGCCUUACUUGCCUAAACUCCACCCAUUUACAUGCUGCUAAUAACCAACUACACUUACAACACCUGCUCCACACUACUACUACUACUACUACUACUACUACUACUACUACUACUACUACUCAUACACAGCACAGGCCACAAGGACCAGUUAGGAACAAAACAAAAAAUUCAUCUUUGCAAAUACUACCACCCCAGUAACACCUUUUGUUGCCAGUCUAUAGCUUCCUUUCUGUCUAUCAACCACUAACUAUAUCAAUAGCAAGUGACACUGAGCAGAUAAAAGCUGCACAUGUCAUUCAACUCUGUCAUUUGCAUUUCCCAUCUCUUGCUGUCAACUCUCUACAACAAAUCCAAACAGCUGUCACUAUCACUAAAGCAAGCCAUCACUAGGCUCAAGAAACAAAACAAACCCAUCAAACGGUGAGCAAACACAUUAGGAACGGCCAAAACAACAGUUUGGAUCAUUCUAACAACCAAACAACACACCAGGGGCCUAAACAACACCAAAACACCUCAAACACCACUAAAACAAAUGUAGUGGACAACCAAACUAUUACUUCCCUGCUCAAAACACUCUCCAGGAGGUGUAUGUGUGCAGCUCAACAAUCAAGACAACACUACACCACAGCUUCUGCAGAGGGUUCACCACAUUUUCACAACCACUACUGAGCCUACCAAUAAUGAAGGCUGAAUUACUCAGCUAAAAAAGCCUUUACAACUGUGGAACAACACCCUAUGGACAGAUCACACCAACAUCAACUUUUACCAAACUGAUCAACACACUACAUUAUACACAAGGAAAGCAACUGCUCAUCAUCCUAGGCAUGGUGAUGCUAUUGUCAUGGCAUGACCAGUACAACUGCUUCUCUUGUAUGUUACAUGAUGUGACUGCUGACCAAUUCUGAACUCUUCUUCCCAACAUUACCUUCUCACAUUCAGCCAAAUGCUUUGGAACUCAUUGUACAGCACUUCACAGAGCAGACAGACAGUGACCCAAAGCAUACUGCUCAAGCAACCCAACACUUUGAAGGGAAAAAAACUGGAGGGAAAACACCACAACAACAAGCAGGAACUGAACACCAUUGCAGUACAGACCUGGCAAAGCAUCACCAUUGAUGAAACCCAGCAUCUAGUAAUGUCCAUGUGUUCCACACUUCAGCAUCUAAAGGCUGAUUUACACUUCAGCGUAAAGCGUACACAUAUGCUCUGGCACAGCAUACAUGCAGACACAUAGCCCCUUGCCAUCAGUGUUCAGACACACACCUCUCAAAGAAUGUAACGUGUAUGUGCUGCACAAGCUCUGUGAUUGCUCGGCUUGGUAGCACUGAUGAGUGUGGGUGGAGAUGACAGCUGCACAAGCAUGAUGCAAGAGGGGUUUACAAGUCUGGAGUCCCAUGAAGGACCUCCAGAUGGAGACUGCUGUUUGCUGUUUACCUUAUGAUUAAAGUUGUUGCACGUCCACCAGUUCCAGCCUCAAAAUGACAACCUUUCAGCCACUUCUACAUUAAGGAAGCGUUCUGAAAAAACUAAACACCAGCAAAGGAACUCCACACAGAGAAACAUAAACACCUACAGCCAGCUAGCAUUUCACAAGUGCUGUUGCAGAGCAACACAAACAGCACACACAAGUAUGCAUGCACGGCUACACACAAGGCUUGCACCAUGGCUCACGCCCAUCACUUGACGCAGAGGUAUAAACCAGCCUUCAUUUCCUGCAAAGGAUAUGCAACCAAAUAUUACAAAUUACUACUUUCACUUUCUAUUAUUAUUCUGUCCAAUUACUUUUGCUCCCCUAACAACUGACAAGCACAAAUGCAGAAAGGUGUAAUUACUAAAGUGUUGACCUGAUUUUUCAUGUAAAUAUCCUCUAAUUAAAGCUGACUGUCUGCAGUUAAAGCACUAAUUACCUGACUGUAUGUUCACUCCAGGAUACACUAACACUUAUACUUUCUUAUGUCUGUAUGACUAUUACAAAAGUUGCAUGUUUAAGAGCCUACAUUACAUGAUGACUUACUGUCAUCCCUCUUCACAAACUACUUCUCAGAAAAUGAGAAGUACAAGCAAACAGCCUUCAGUAUGAAAAGAUUGUCUGUCUGUCUCUGUCUGUCUGUCUGUCUGUCUGUCUGUCUGUCUGUCUGUCUGUCUGUCUGUCUGUCUGUCUGUCUGUCUGUCUACACUAUGACUUACAAACUGGCCUACAAAAAUGACAUAUGUGCAAAUGUUGAAGGUCAACUCAACUCACCCUCUCCUGCUCCUCCACCCUGCCCUCCAGGGCUGUGGGUGCACCUCAGCUGCUCUCCCAUCCAUGUCAGCGACAACAUCUACUUCCCUCUUCAUCACUGGGCACAAAACAAAACACUACAAAAACACUCACUAACAUUAAACAUACUCUCUUUCAAUCGUUUAAGUCCACAUUUCAAGUGUACAACAAAAACUAUGACGAAUUAUGCUAAAUAACUAUUUUUUCUACUUUCCAACCCGCUCUAUAAAAUCUCAAAAGUCAGCCUUUCUACUACUAGCCAGAAGAGCAAAGUCCACUAAAACAGCUCAAGCCUUCUCAUUUAUGGACCCUAAACUCUGGAAUAGCCAUCCUGAUAAUGUUCAAGCCUCAGACACACAACCUCACUUCAAAACUACAUUCAACACAAGUCUUCUUACUGAACAAUACACACAAUGGUAUGCAUUAUACACAAGUGUGCUGCAUGACUGGGGUUCACAGCCUCCUAUACGACACACUCCUCCUGUCUUAAUGCACCACACAUUCAGUUAAAAAUACUCUGAUGCUUUACUUCCUUCUUUCUGUUGUCUUUUUCACUGCUAUUUUCAUUUAUAAGACUCCAUUCUUGCACUGAUAAUUCAGGUCUAUUUUAAAUACACUAAACAGCAGCUACCAUAACUCUUUUCUUUCUUCUCUAUUUCCACCUGAGGAUGCAUUUAAAGAUUGUGCAGCACCACUGAUGUGAUCCAAAAGCUGUGAAGACAUGAUGCCAAACAUCAACCACCUCAACCACAACACAUACAAAGACGUCAUGCCAGCCAUCUAACACUUGCACAGAAGCCCAUCUCGACGCCUCUACAGACUGUGCAACACCAUUGAUAAGAUCCCAGACCUGUCAAGAGAUGAUGCCAACCAUGGAACCAUCCACACCUUCCUGGAGAAACACAAACCUGUGCUGCAACACUGACCACUGCAUGCACUGACAACUUCAACCAUCACCACAUCACAUUACAGUUCUUGCAUUUACUAACAUGAAGGACGAAAAGUACACUACAGUAUUUCUUCAUUUGUUAGUGCAAUAAAUAAUGUUAACAAGCAUGCAUUUGGAUGUUCAUAUUGUAAAUGUUCGUUAUUAAAUGUAAUACAAGUAUUGUUUAUAAUUACUUCAUGUUAGUAAAUACAAUAACUAAUGACACCUUAUUGUAAAGUAUGACAUCAUCACCAAGCAAUCAAAAAAAUACACCCUGUUUGUAUUGUCAGAAUAAAGAUUUUACAAUAAUAAAGAUUUGUUUUUGGGGUAAAUGAUCAUUACAAUUAUUACAAGUAUAAUAUGAAUACAUUAAUAAAUAUGAAGACAUCUAAAGUACA